RNAcentral lists this ribosomal RNA (429 nucleotides) under uncultured bacterium. RNAcentral's name for it is "bacterial SSU rRNA". It matches the Rfam family "Bacterial small subunit ribosomal RNA", at positions 355 to 776 of the family's 1533-position model. The record is from RNAcentral.
UAGGGAAUCUUCCGCAAUGGACGAAAGUCUGACGGAGCAACGCCGCGUGAGUGAUGAAGGGUUUCGGCUCGUAAAACUCUGUUGUUAAGGAAGAAUACUUGAGGUAGUAACUGGCCUUGAGAUGACGGUACUUAACCAGAAAGCCACGGCUAACUACGUGCCAGCAGCCGCGGUAAUACGUAGGUGGCAAGCGUUAUCCGGAAUUAUUGGGCGUAAAGCGCGCGUAGGCGGUAAAAUAAGUCUGAUGUGAAAGCCCCCGGCUCAACCGGGGAGGGUCAUUGGAAACUGUUUUACUUGAGUACAGAAGAGGAGAGUGGAAUUCCAUGUGUAGCGGUGAAAUGCGCAGAGAUAUGGAGGAACACCAGUGGCGAAGGCGGCUCUCUGGUCUGUUACUGACGCUGAGGUGCGAAAGCGUGGGGAUCAAACAGG